RNAcentral lists this ribosomal RNA (253 nucleotides) under uncultured bacterium. RNAcentral describes it as "partial 16S ribosomal RNA". It matches the Rfam family "Bacterial small subunit ribosomal RNA", at positions 524 to 776 of the family's 1533-position model. The record is from RNAcentral.
UACAGAGGUGGCAAGCGUUGUUCGGAAUUACUGGGCGUAAAGGGCGCGUAGGCGGUUCGUUAAGUCCUGUGUGAAAUCCCCCGGCUCAACUGGGGAACUGCACAGGAAACUAGCGGGCUUGAGUUCGGGAGAGGGAAGCGGAAUUCCUGGUGUAGCGGUGAAAUGCGUAGAUAUCAGGAGGAACACCGGUGGUGUAGACGGCUUUCUGGACAAUCACUGACGCUGAGGUACGAAAGCGUGGGUAGCAAACAGG